UUUCCGAAUGGGGAAACCCAGUGUGAUUCGUCACACUAUCAUUAACUGAAUCCAUAGGUUAAUGAGGCGAACCGGGGGAACUGAAACAUCUAAGUACCCCGAGGAAAAGAAAUCAACCGAGAUUCCCCCAGUAGCGGCGAGCGAACGGGGAGCAGCCCAGAGCCUGAAUCAGUGUGUGUGUUAGUGGAAGCGUCUGGAAAGGCGCGCGAUACAGGGUGACAGCCCCGUACACAAAAAUGCACAUGCUGUGAGCUCGAUGAGUAGGGCGGGACACGUGGUAUCCUGUCUGAAUAUGGGGGGACCAUCCUCCAAGGCUAAAUACUCCUGACUGACCGAUAGUGAACCAGUACCGUGAGGGAAAGGCGAAAAGAACCCCGGCGAGGGGAGUGAAAAAGAACCUGAAACCGUGUACGUACAAGCAGUGGGAGCACGCUUAGGCGUGUGACUGCGUACCUUUUGUAUAAUGGGUCAGCGACUUAUAUUCUGUAGCAAGGUUAACCGAAUAGGGGAGCCGAAGGGAAACCGAGUCUUAACUGGGCGUUAAGUUGCAGGGUAUAGACCCGAAACCCGGUGAUCUAGCCAUGGGCAGGUUGAAGGUUGGGUAACACUAACUGGAGGACCGAACCGACUAAUGUUGAAAAAUUAGCGGAUGACUUGUGGCUGGGGGUGAAAGGCCAAUCAAACCGGGAGAUAGCUGGUUCUCCCCGAAAGCUAUUUAGGUAGCGCCUCGUGAAUUCAUCUCCGGGGGUAGAGCACUGUUUCGGCAAGGGGGUCAUCCCGACUUACCAACCCGAUGCAAACUGCGAAUACCGGAGAAUGUUAUCACGGGAGACACACGGCGGGUGCUAACGUCCGUCGUGAAGAGGGAAACAACCCAGACCGCCAGCUAAGGUCCCAAAGUCAUGGUUAAGUGGGAAACGAUGUGGGAAGGCCCAGACAGCCAGGAUGUUGGCUUAGAAGCAGCCAUCAUUUAAAGAAAGCGUAAUAGCUCACUGGUCGAGUCGGCCUGCGCGGAAGAUGUAACGGGGCUAAACCAUGCACCGAAGCUGCGGCAGCGACGCUUAUGCGUUGUUGGGUAGGGGAGCGUUCUGUAAGCCUGCGAAGGUGUGCUGUGAGGCAUGCUGGAGGUAUCAGAAGUGCGAAUGCUGACAUAAGUAACGAUAAAGCGGGUGAAAAGCCCGCUCGCCGGAAGACCAAGGGUUCCUGUCCAACGUUAAUCGGGGCAGGGUGAGUCGACCCCUAAGGCGAGGCCGAAAGGCGUAGUCGAUGGGAAACAGGUUAAUAUUCCUGUACUUGGUGUUACUGCGAAGGGGGGACGGAGAAGGCUAUGUUGGCCGGGCGACGGUUGUCCCGGUUUAAGCGUGUAGGCUGGUUUUCCAGGCAAAUCCGGAAAAUCAAGGCUGAGGCGUGAUGACGAGGCACUACGGUGCUGAAGCAACAAAUGCCCUGCUUCCAGGAAAAGCCUCUAAGCAUCAGGUAACAUCAAAUCGUACCCCAAACCGACACAGGUGGUCAGGUAGAGAAUACCAAGGCGCUUGAGAGAACUCGGGUGAAGGAACUAGGCAAAAUGGUGCCGUAACUUCGGGAGAAGGCACGCUGAUAUGUAGGUGAAGUCCCUCGCGGAUGGAGCUGAAAUCAGUCGAAGAUACCAGCUGGCUGCAACUGUUUAUUAAAAACACAGCACUGUGCAAACACGAAAGUGGACGUAUACGGUGUGACGCCUGCCCGGUGC
Molecule: ribosomal RNA, 1732 nt
Filed under: Escherichia coli
Lineage: Bacteria; Pseudomonadati; Pseudomonadota; Gammaproteobacteria; Enterobacterales; Enterobacteriaceae
Description: partial 23S ribosomal RNA
Rfam family: Bacterial large subunit ribosomal RNA
Source: RNAcentral